Molecule: transfer RNA, 61 nt
Filed under: Grandidierella rubroantennata
Lineage: Eukaryota; Metazoa; Arthropoda; Malacostraca; Amphipoda; Corophiidae
Description: tRNA-Ile
Source: RNAcentral
CAAAAGAUAGCUUAAAUAAAGCUGAAGUGUGAUAGAUUUCCUAUGGGUUUCCCUCUUUUGA